This 531-nucleotide ribosomal RNA is filed under the name uncultured Bacillota bacterium. Its description in RNAcentral is "uncultured Firmicutes bacterium partial 16S ribosomal RNA". The record is from RNAcentral. Lineage: Bacteria; Bacillati; Bacillota.
UACCGCGGCUGCUGGCACGUAGUUAGCCGUCCCUUUCUGGUAAGUUACCGUCACUGUGUGAACUUUCCACUCUCACACACGUUCUUCUCUUACAACAGAGCUUUACGAUCCGAAAACCUUCUUCACUCACGCGGCGUUGCUCGGUCAGGGUUGCCCCCAUUGCCGAAGAUUCCCUACUGCUGCCUCCCGUAGGAGUCUGGGCCGUGUCUCAGUCCCAGUGUGGCCGAUCACCCUCUCAGGUCGGCUAUGUAUCGUCGCCUUGGUAGGCCGUUACCCCACCAACUAGCUAAUACAACGCAGGUCCAUCUACUAGUGAUACAUUUGCAUCUUUCAAGCAUCUAACAUGUGUUAAACACUGUUAUGCGGUAUUAGCUAUCGUUUCCAAUAGUUAUCCCCCGCUAGUAGGCAGGUUACCUACGCGUUACUCACCCGUUCGCAACUCCUUCUACUCUAGCAAGCUAAAGUAGUCAGCGUUCUACUUGCAUGUAUUAGGCACGCCGCCAGCGUUCGUCCUGAGCCAUGAUCAAACUC